CCUACGGGAGGCAGCAGUGGGGAAUAUUGCUCAAUGGGGGCGACCCUGAUGCAGCGAAGCCGCGUGAGUGAAGAAGGCUUUCGGGAUGGAAAGCUCUAUCAGCAGGGGAGAAAAUGCCGGUACAUGUUUAAGAGUCCCCGGCUAACUACGGGCAAGCAGCCGCGGGCAUGGGGAGGGGGCAAGCGUUAUUCGGAUUUAAUGGGUGUAUAGGUAGCGUAGACGGGAGCACAAGGCUGGAGUGAAAUGGCGGGGCUUAACACCGGGACUGCGUUGGAAACUGUCCAGCGAGAGUGGAGGAGAGGUAAGUGGAAUGCCUAGUGUAGCGGUGAAAUGCGUAGAUAUUAGGAGGAACACCAGUGGCGAAGGCGGCAUACUGGA
Molecule: ribosomal RNA, 378 nt
Filed under: uncultured bacterium
Lineage: Bacteria
Description: partial 16S ribosomal RNA
Rfam family: Bacterial small subunit ribosomal RNA
Source: RNAcentral